This 207-nucleotide small nucleolar RNA is filed under the name Labrus bergylta (ballan wrasse). RNAcentral's name for it is "Small nucleolar RNA U3 (ENSLBEG00000002028.1)". It matches the Rfam family "Small nucleolar RNA U3". From Rfam's summary of the family: Small nucleolar RNAs (snoRNAs) are involved in the processing and modification of rRNA in the nucleolus. There are two main classes of snoRNAs: the box C/D class, and the box H/ACA class. U3 snoRNA is a member of the box C/D class. Lineage: Eukaryota; Metazoa; Chordata; Actinopteri; Labriformes; Labridae. The record is from Rfam by way of RNAcentral.
AAGACUAUACUUUCAGGGAUCAUUUCUUUAGUUGUUGAUCUGAGAAAUGUGUUUCUAAAGAGUUUGGUCUUGCUGUCCACGAUGAAGAGUUCAGAUGUUUCUUUCAGAGCAGGAAACUGGCAGGAAGACUUCAUUUCUUCUCUGCUGUUGAAGAUUGUUCAGAGUUUCUCCCAGACUCUCUGAUGGAGGAAACAUGAUCUGAGUGGA